GUUUGCCCAUGGUAUCUGAUGUCCAGACUUUUGGAUAUCCCUGUAUCUGGACAUUUCGUUUAGAGGGCAUAUAGAGAUUUUUUACAGGCCUUGCGACACAGUUUGCUUGCUUAUAAUCUCAGCUUACUGUUACUAUAUACCUGUGAACAUAU
Neltuma alba is the source of this 152-nucleotide small nucleolar RNA. RefSeq annotates it as small nucleolar RNA F1/F2/snoR5a. The record is from RefSeq and is a predicted model, not a curated record. Lineage: Eukaryota; Viridiplantae; Streptophyta; Magnoliopsida; Fabales; Fabaceae. The transcript has a single exon.